Long non-coding RNA from Platichthys flesus (European flounder), 701 nucleotides. RefSeq lists it as uncharacterized. Lineage: Eukaryota; Metazoa; Chordata; Actinopteri; Pleuronectiformes; Pleuronectidae. The transcript has 3 exons. The record is from RefSeq and is a predicted model, not a curated record.
GUAGCAGCAGAUGUAGACGACUACGGCGACAACUGGGAGGAAGAUCUGAGAACAACCUGCCUCAUCAGUGCACCUGAACGCAUCAUGUCAGCGACCGAGGAAGGAUGUAAGACACCUGAACUGACCUGUCCCAGCAUGCUUUGCGUCCAGGCGGUGUCAGAGCUGUAGAGACACAGAGCCAGAGCGCAGCCGUACUGGUACACGGCCACGCCCACGUGUUCCAGGAAGAAGAGGGAGUGGUGCGUGUGCUCGGAGUGAAGCAGGCGAACUGCAGCGCUGCAACGAGCAACUCUCUCAUCAAUCACUUUCAACCCUAAUGCAGCACAUGACUGUAAACAUCUGUAAUCAGCGUCUGACCAUUGACCACCAGCUGCAGACUCAGAACAGCUGGAGAACAUGUGGAGCAGUGAAGAGCCUGACUUCAGGAGGUGGAGACCAAACACAGACAUAAAAGACAGAGUCACCUCACAUCCCAACUUAAAACCUCUGAACAUUGGAUUCAAACAUCAAAUGAACCAUUGUGUUGACCUGUAGCUGAUGGAGGUGGGGAUGGAGGCAGACUCAGGGACGUGACAGCGGAGAAGACGUAGAGAACCAGAGGCAGCGAGGUCACGUCCACAGAGAAGUCCUGACCUUCAGGGCCCUGCAGCCUGACUCCCAGGAUCCCCUGAGGAGGUCAGAGGUCAAAGAGGUCAGACAUG